RNAcentral lists this ribosomal RNA (449 nucleotides) under uncultured bacterium. RNAcentral describes it as "partial 16S ribosomal RNA". It matches the Rfam family "Bacterial small subunit ribosomal RNA", at positions 29 to 523 of the family's 1533-position model. The record is from RNAcentral.
AACGAACGCUGGCGGCAUGCCUAACACAUGCAAGUCGAACGAGAUCUUCGGGUCUAGUGGCGCACGGGUGUGUAACACGUGGGAAUCUGCCCUUUGGUUCGGAAUAACAGUUGGAAACGACUGCUAAUACCGGAUGAUGACGAAAGUCCAAAGAUUUAUCGCCAGAGGAUGAGCCCGCGUAGGAUUAGCUAGUUGGUGUGGUAAAGGCGCACCAAGGCGACGAUCCUUAGCUGGUCUGAGAGGAUGAUCAGCCACACUGGGACUGAGACACGGCCCAGACUCCUCCGGGAGGCAGCGGUGGGGAAUAUUGGAAAAGGGGCGAAAGCUUGAUCCAGAAUUGCCGGGUGAGUGAUGAAGGCCUUAGGGUUGUAAAGCUCUUUUACCCGGGAUGAUAAUGACAGUACCGGGAGAAUAAGCUCCGGCUAACUCCGUGCCAGCCGCCGCCGUAA